AGCGAACGCUGGCGGCAGGCUUAACACAUGCAAGUCGAGCGGGCACUCUCGGGUGUCAGGGGCGGAUGGGUGAGUAACGCGUGGGAUCGCGCCUUCUGGUCCGGACUAACACUGUGAAACUUGAGCUAAUACCGGAUACGCCUACUUGGUGAAAGGCUUGCCGCCGGGGGAUCGGUUCGAGUCUGAUUAGGUAGUGGGUGAGGUAACGGCUCACUCAGGUGGGGAGUAGUGGCUGGUCUGAGCAGAGGAUCAGCCAGGCUGGGACUGAGACACGGCCCAGACUGCGAGGGGAGGGAGCGGUAGAGAGUAUUGGGCAAGGAACGCAGACCUAGUCCAGCCGUGCCGCGUAAGUGAUGAAGGCCUUAGGGUUGUAAAGCUCUUUGAGCCGAGGCGUGAGUGACGGUACCGGGUAAAUAAGCCCCGGCUAACUACGUG
This 435-nucleotide ribosomal RNA is filed under the name uncultured bacterium. Its description in RNAcentral is "partial 16S ribosomal RNA". It matches the Rfam family "Bacterial small subunit ribosomal RNA", at positions 30 to 507 of the family's 1533-position model. The record is from RNAcentral.